UUGUCCUUAGUUACCAGCACGUUAUGGGUGGGCACUCUAAGGAGACUGCCGGUGACAAACCGGAGGAAGGUGGGAUGACGUCAAGUCAUCAUGGCCCUUACGGCCUGGGCUACACACGUGCUACAAUGGUCGGUACAAAGGGUUGCCAAGCCGCGAGGUGGAGCUAAUCCCAUAAAACCGAUCGUAGUCCGGAUCGCAGUCUGCAACUCGACUGCGUGAAGUCGGAAUCGCUAGUAAUCGUGAAUCAGAAUGUCACGGUGAAUACGUUCCCGGGCCUU
This 278-nucleotide ribosomal RNA is filed under the name uncultured Pseudomonas sp. Its description in RNAcentral is "partial 16S ribosomal RNA". It matches the Rfam family "Bacterial small subunit ribosomal RNA", at positions 1105 to 1382 of the family's 1533-position model. The record is from RNAcentral. Lineage: Bacteria; Pseudomonadati; Pseudomonadota; Gammaproteobacteria; Pseudomonadales; Pseudomonadaceae.